Molecule: ribosomal RNA, 78 nt
Filed under: Aphonopelma chalcodes
Lineage: Eukaryota; Metazoa; Arthropoda; Arachnida; Araneae; Theraphosidae
Source: RNAcentral
UUUGUUGGUUUUCGGAAUACGAGGUAAUGAUUAAGAGGGACAGACGGGGGCAUUCGUAUUGCGACGCUAGAGGUGAAA